RNAcentral lists this ribosomal RNA (332 nucleotides) under uncultured Legionella sp. RNAcentral's name for it is "bacterial SSU rRNA". It matches the Rfam family "Bacterial small subunit ribosomal RNA", at positions 568 to 898 of the family's 1533-position model. The record is from RNAcentral. Lineage: Bacteria; Pseudomonadati; Pseudomonadota; Gammaproteobacteria; Legionellales; Legionellaceae.
UGCGUAGGUGGUUAAUUAAGUUAUCUGUGAAAUCCCUGGGCUCAACCUGGGCAGGUCAGAUAAUACUGGUUAACUCGAGUAUGGGAGAGGGUAGUGGAAUUUCCGGUGUAGCGGUGAAAUGCGUAGAGAUCGGAAGGAACACCAGUGGCGAAGGCGGCUACCUGGCCUAAUACUGACACUGAGGCACGAAAGCGUGGGGAGCAAACAGGAUUAGAUACCCUGGUAGUCCACGCUGUAAACGAUGUCAACUAGCUGUUGGUUAUAUGAAUAUAAUUAGUGGCGAAGCAAACGCGAUAAGUUGACCGCCUGGGGAGUACGGUCGCAAGAUUAAA